Molecule: ribosomal RNA, 399 nt
Filed under: uncultured bacterium
Lineage: Bacteria
Description: bacterial SSU rRNA
Rfam family: Bacterial small subunit ribosomal RNA
Source: RNAcentral
AAUCUUGCGCAAUGGGCGAAAGCCUGACGCAGCGACGCCGCGUGUGGGAUGAAGGCCUUCGGGUUGUAAACCACUGUCGGGAGGGACGAAUAAACUGACGGUACCUCCAAAGGAAGCACCGGCUAACUCCGUGCCAGCAGCCGCGGUAAUACGGAGGGUGCGAGCGUUGUCCGGAAUCACUGGGCGUAAAGGGCGCGUAGGCGGCCCGGUAAGUAGGAGGUGAAAUCCUGAGGCUCAACCUCAGGGCUGCCUUCUAAACUGCCAGGCUCGAGCACAGUAGAGGCAGGUGGAAUUCCCGGUGUAGCGGUGGAAUGCGUAGAGAUCGGGAAGAACAUCGGUGGCGAAGGCGGCCUGCUGGGCUGUUGCUGACGCUGAGGCGCGACAGCGUGGGGAGCAAAC